Molecule: long non-coding RNA, 533 nt
Organism: Bombyx mori (domestic silkworm)
Lineage: Eukaryota; Metazoa; Arthropoda; Insecta; Lepidoptera; Bombycidae
Exons: 2
Source: RefSeq, a predicted model, not a curated record
AAAUACAAACUUCGAACAAAAGCCUUCUUUUGAAUAAGAAUUUUUUAGUCGGUUAACGGUAAAUACUGAUUUGUCACUUUCCGAAAAUGUUCCUUUUAUGAACUCGUUACCUUCAGAAUAUCGAUUUAUUUCACCUGUACACGAGGGUCCAGAGCUUCGGAGCAUUCCGCGGCGCCUUCGUUCAUUGUUCUCUCAACCCCAAUGCAUUUUAGAAUCUACCACCGGAUCGGAAACUACAAGCAGCAGCUGACCGUGUAGUGCAGUGAUUAUCAAACUUAUUUCUUUUACCGCCCCCUUUGAAAAUCAAGAAUUUUUCAGCGCCCCCCAUUUUUUAUACACCCCUAAAACUUUAAAACCACAAUUUCAUUAAUUUAAUUAAUAAAUGUUGUAUUAAUUUUAGUAAAUGUAGUACCACGUAGUACAUAUGUAUUUGUAGAUGCUAUUAUUGUUUCUUCAUAUUAUUAUAUGUCCGUACAUUGCUACAGAGCGUGUAUUUACAAAUUUGCAAAGUAAAAAUGAAUUCUUCUCAUCAA